RNAcentral lists this unclassified non-coding RNA (199 nucleotides) under uncultured fungus. RNAcentral's name for it is "sequence contains ITS1, 5.8S rRNA gene". The record is from RNAcentral. Lineage: Eukaryota; Fungi.
CUGAGUUAGGGUCUUCCAGGCCCGACCUCCAACCCUUUGCCUACCUUACCUCUUGUUGCUUCGGCCGGCCCGUCCCCCCUAGACAUAGGGGUCGACCGCCGGAGGGCUCACGCCCUCUGGCCCGCGCCGGCCGAUGGCCUCCAACCAAAACUCUUGUUCAAUCGUGAAUUGUCUGAGUACAAAAACCAAAAUAAACCAA